Molecule: ribosomal RNA, 550 nt
Filed under: uncultured bacterium
Lineage: Bacteria
Description: partial 16S ribosomal RNA
Rfam family: Bacterial small subunit ribosomal RNA
Source: RNAcentral
UGGGGAAUUUUGGACAAUGGGGGAAACCCUGAUCCAGCCAUCCCGCGUGUGCGAUGAAGGCCUUCGGGUUGUAAAGCACUUUUUGGCAGGAAAGAAACGUCGCGGGUUAAUACCCCGCGAAACUGACGGUACCUGCAGAAUAAGCACCGGCUAACUACGUGCCAGCAGCCGCGGUAAUACGUAGGGUGCAAGCGUUAAUCGGAAUUACUGGGCGUAAAGCGUGCGCAGGCGGUUCGGAAAGAAGGAUGUGAAAUCCCAGAGCUUAACUUUGGAACUGCAUUUUUAACUACCGGGCUAGAGUGUGUCAGAGGGAGGUGGAAUUCCGCGUGUAGCAGUGAAAUGCGUAGAUAUGCGGAGGAACACCGAUGGCGAAGGCAGCCUCCUGGGAUAACACUGACGCUCAUGCACGAAAGCGUGGGGAGCAAACAGGAUUAGAUACCCUGGUAGUCCACGCCCUAAACGAUGUCAACUAGCUGUUGGGGGCCUUUCGGGCCUUGGUAGCGCAGCUAACGCGUGAAGUUGACCGCCUGGGGAGUACGGUCGCAAGAUU